This 473-nucleotide ribosomal RNA is filed under the name uncultured bacterium. RNAcentral's name for it is "SSU rRNA". It matches the Rfam family "Bacterial small subunit ribosomal RNA", at positions 26 to 518 of the family's 1533-position model. The record is from RNAcentral.
AGGAUAAACGCUGGCGGCGUGCAUGAGACAUGCAAGUCGAACGGACACUUGGGGCUUGCUCCAAGUGUUAGUGGCGGACGGCUGAGUAACGCGUAGGUGACCUGCCCCGAAGUGGGGAAUAACUGCCCGAAAGGGUGGCUAAUACCGCAUGUGGUGGUGUGUUCAUUCACACCAGUAAAGCCGCAAGGCGCUUCGGGAUGGGCCUGCGUCCGAUUAGCUCGUUGGUGGGGUAACGGCUCACCAAGGCGACGAUCGGUAGGUGGUCUGAGAGGACGAUCACCCAGACUGGGACUGAGACACGGCCCAGACUCCUACGGGAGGCAGCAGUCGGGAAUUUUGCGCAAUGGACGAAAGUCUGACGCAGCAACGCCGCGUGAGGGAUGAAGGCCUUCGGGUUGUAAACCUCUUUUAUCAGGGAAGAUAAUGACGGUACCUGAUGAAUAAGUCACGGCUAACUACGUGCCAGCAGCCGC